ACUCAUCACCCUGUGACAUACCUAAAACGUUGCUUCGGCGGGAACAGACGGCCCUGUAACAACGGGCCGCCCCCGCCAGAGGACCCCUAACUCUGUCUUUAUAAUGUUUUUCUGAGUAAACAAGCAAAUAAAUUAAAACUUUCAACAACGGAUCUCUUGGCUCUGGCAUCGAUGAAGAACGCAGCGAAAUGCGAUAAGUAAUGUGAAUUGCAGAAUUCAGUGAAUCAUCGAAUCUUUGAACGCACAUUGCGCCCGCCAGUAUUCUGGCGGGCAUGCCUGUUCGAGCGUCAUUACAACCCUCAGGCCCCCGGGCCUGGCGUUGGGGAUCGGCGGAAGCCCCCUGUGGGCACACGCCGUCCCUCAAAUACAGUGGCGGUCCCGCCGCAGCUUCCAUUGCGUAGUAGCUAACACCUCGCAACUGGAGAGCGGCGCGGCCAUGCCGUAAAACACCCAACUUCUGAAUGUUGACCUCGAAUCAGGUAGGAAUACCCGCUGAACUUAAGCAUAUCAAUAAGCGGAGGA
Molecule: ribosomal RNA, 522 nt
Filed under: Fusarium solani
Lineage: Eukaryota; Fungi; Ascomycota; Sordariomycetes; Hypocreales; Nectriaceae
Description: eukaryotic LSU rRNA
Rfam family: 5.8S ribosomal RNA (bases 137-290)
Source: RNAcentral